GUUCAGUUCAAGCAACACUAGCAAUAUUUUCCACCCAACGACAUGUUACGAGGAAAUCCUUCAAAAUGCGUUCUUGUGAAAAACGUGAGAGUGGAAGGAAGGAGGGAGGGAUAGGAGGAAGGAAAGAGAAGCAAAAGUUCCCUGUUUCUCACGGCCCUGAAACCAGCCGACAGGGAUUUGCAUUUUGAAAAACCUUGCGUGGCUGCCGGCGCUGGGCAUGCUCAAACGCCCAGAACUGGCUUUUUUCGGCAACUUUGGCAGCUCUCCCACCCCCACCCGAAGGGGCAGGUACGCACAGUUCCCUCCGUGUGAGUAAACGGAAAGAAAUUACCCCACUCCCGCCCAGGGCAGAAGGCCACAGCCCCGC
RNAcentral lists this long non-coding RNA (367 nucleotides) under Pan paniscus (pygmy chimpanzee). RNAcentral's name for it is "lncRNA (ENSPPAG00000044909.1)". Lineage: Eukaryota; Metazoa; Chordata; Mammalia; Primates; Hominidae. The record is from RNAcentral.